Molecule: ribosomal RNA, 1345 nt
Filed under: uncultured bacterium
Lineage: Bacteria
Description: bacterial SSU rRNA
Rfam family: Bacterial small subunit ribosomal RNA
Source: RNAcentral
GAUGAACGCUAGCGGGAGGCCUAACACAUGCAAGCCGAGCGGUAUUUGUCUUUCGGGACAGAGAGAGCGGCGUACGGGUGCGGAACACGUGUGCAACCUGCCUUUAUCAGGGAGAUAGCCUUUCGAAAGGAAGAUUAAUAUCCCAUAAUAUAAUGAAUGGCAUCAUUUAUUAUUGAAAGCUCCGGCGGAUAGAGAUGGGCACGCGCAAGAUUAGAUAGUUGGUGAGGUAACGGCUCACCAAGUCAGUGAUCUUUAGGGGGCCUGAGAGGGUGAUCCCCCACACUGGUACUGAGACACGGACCAGACUCCUACGGGAGGCAGCAGUGAGGAAUAUUGGACAAUGGGUGAGAGCCUGAUCCAGCCAUCCCGCGUGAAGGACGACGGUUCUAUGGAUUGUAAACUUCUUUUAUACUGGGAUAAACCUACCCUCGUGAGGGUAGCUGAAGGUACAGUAUGAAUAAGCACCGGCUAACUCCGUGCCAGCAGCCGCGGUAAUACGGAGGGUGCAAGCGUUAUCCGGAUUUAUUGGGUUUAAAGGGUCCGUAGGCGGAUCUGUAAGUCAGUGGUGAAAUCUCACAGCUUAACUGUGAAACUGCCAUUGAUACUGCAGGUCUUGAGUAAAGUAGAAGUGGCUGGAAUAAGUAGUGUAGCGGUGAAAUGCAUAGAUAUUACUUAGAACACCAAUUGCGAAGGCAGGUCACUAUGUUUUAACUGACGCUGAUGGACGAAAGCGUGGGGAGCGAACAGGAUUAGAUACCCUGGUAGUCCACGCCGUAAACGAUGCUAACUCGUUUUUGGGUUUUCGGAUUCAGAGACUAAGCGAAAGUGAUAAGUUAGCCACCUGGGGAGUACGUUCGCAAGAAUGAAACUCAAAGGAAUUGACGGGGGCCCGCACAAGCGGUGGAUUAUGUGGUUUAAUUCGGUGAUACGCGAGGAACCUUACCAAGGCUUAAAUGGGAAUUGACAGGUUUGGAAACAGACUUUUCUUCGGACAAUUUUCAAGGUGCUGCAUGGUUGUCGUCAGCUCGUGCCGUGAGGUGUUAGGUUAAGUCCUGCAACGAGCGCAACCCCUGUCACUAGUUGCCAUCAUUCAGUUGGGGACUCUAGUGAGACUGCCUACGCAAGUAGAGAGGAAGGUGGGGAUGACGUCAAAUCAUCACGGCCCUUACGCCUUGGGCCACACACGUAAUACAAUGGCCGGUACAGAGGGCAGCUACUUAGCGAUAAGAUGCGAAUCUCGAAAGCCGGUCUCAGUUCGGAUUGGAGUCUGCAACUCGACUCUAUGAAGCUGGAAUCGCUAGUAAUCGCGCAUCAGCCAUGGCGCGGUGAAUACGUUCCCGGGCCU